GACGAACGCUGGCGGCGUUCUUAACACAUGCAAGUCGAACGGAAAGGCCCUGCUUUUGUGGGGUGCUCGAGUGGCGAACGGGUGAGUAACACGUGAGUAACCUGCCCUUGACUUUGGGAUAACUUCAGGAAACUGGGGCUAAUACCGGAUAGGAGCUCCUGCUGCAUGGUGGGGGUUGGAAAGUUUCGGCGGUUGGGGAUGGACUCGCGGCUUAUCAGCUUGUUGGUGGGGUAGUGGCUUACCAAGGCUUUGACGGGUAGCCGGCCUGAGAGGGUGACCGGCCACAUUGGGACUGAGAUACGGCCCAGACUCCUACGGGAGGCAGCAGUGGGGAAUAUUGCACAAUGGGCGGAAGCCUGAUGCAGCAACGCCGCGUGCGGGAUGACGGCCUUCGGUUUGUAAACCGCUUUCGCCUGUGACGAAGCGUGAGUGACGGUAAUGGGUAAAGAAGCACCGGCUAACUACGUG
This 468-nucleotide ribosomal RNA is filed under the name uncultured bacterium. Its description in RNAcentral is "partial 16S ribosomal RNA". It matches the Rfam family "Bacterial small subunit ribosomal RNA", at positions 28 to 507 of the family's 1533-position model. The record is from RNAcentral.